This 421-nucleotide ribosomal RNA is filed under the name uncultured bacterium. RNAcentral describes it as "bacterial SSU rRNA". It matches the Rfam family "Bacterial small subunit ribosomal RNA", at positions 355 to 773 of the family's 1533-position model. The record is from RNAcentral.
UGAGGAAUAUUGGCCAAUGGGCGCAAGCCUGAUUCAGCCAUGCCGCGUGCAGGAAGAAGCAUCUAUGGUGUGUAAACUGCUUUUGUACGGGAAGAAACACUCCUUCGUGAAGGAGCUUGACGGUACCGUAAGAAUAAGGAUCGGCUAACUCCUUGCCAGCAGCCGCGGUAAUACGGAGGAUCCAAGCGUUAUCCGGAAUCAUUGGGUUUAAAGGGUCCGUAGGCGGUUUAGUAAGUCAGUGGUGAAAGCCCAUCGCUCAACGAUGGAACGGCCAUUGAUACUGCUAGACUUGAAUUAGUAGAGAGUAACUAGAAUAUGUAGGGUAGCGGUGAAAUGCUUAGAUAUUACAUGGAAAACCAAUUGCGAAGGCAGGUUACUGCUAAUGGAUUGACGCUGGUGGACGAAAGCGUGGGGAGCGAAC